UAGGGAAUAUUGCACAAUGGGGGAAACCCUGAUGCAGCGACGCCGCGUGAGUGAUGAAGGCCUUCGGGUCGUAAAGCUCUGUCGUAUGGGACUAACAAAAUGAAGGUACCAUGCAAGAAAGGAUCGGCUAACUUCGUGCCAGCAGCCGCGGUAAGACGAGGGAUCCUAGCGUUGUUCGGAAUUAUUGGGCGUAAAGCGGGUGUAGGCGGACUUAUAAGUCAGGUGUGAAAUCCCAGGGCUCAACCCUGGAAGUGCACUUGAUACUGCAAGUCUUGAGUGUGGUAGAGGCUAUUAGAAUUCCUGGUGUAGUGGUGAAAUACGUAGAUAUCAGGAGGAAUACCGGAGGCGAAGGCGGAUAGCUGGGCCAACACUGACGCUGAGACCCGAAAGCGUGGGGAUCAAACAGGAUUAGAUACCCAGGUAGUCCCUGAGCGGGCUGGCAAGGCGCAU
Molecule: ribosomal RNA, 450 nt
Filed under: uncultured bacterium
Lineage: Bacteria
Description: bacterial SSU rRNA
Rfam family: Bacterial small subunit ribosomal RNA
Source: RNAcentral